ACGGACCUUUCGGGGUUAGUGGCGGACGGGUGAGUAACACGUGGGAACGUGCCUUUUGGUUCGGAAUAGCUCCUGGAAACGGGUGGUAAUGCCGAAUGUGCCCUUCGGGGGAAAGAUUUAUCGCCAUUAGAGCGGCCCGCGUCUGAUUAGCUAGUUGGUGAGGUAAAGGCUCACCAAGGCUACGAUCAGUAGCUGGUCUGAGAGGAUGACCAGCCACAUUGGGACUGAGACACGGCCCAAACUCCUACGGGAGGCAGCAGUGGGGAAUCUUGCGCAAUGGGCGAAAGCCUGACGCAGCCAUGCCGCGUGAAUGAUGAAGGUCUUAGGAUUGUAAAAUUCUUUCACCGGGGACGAUAAUGACGGUACCCGGAGAAGAAGCCCCGGCUAACUUCGUGCCAGCAGCCGCGGUAAUACGAAGGGGGCUAGCGUUGCUCGGAAUUACUGGGCGUAAAGGGAGCGUAGGCGGACAUUUAAGUCAGGGGUGAAAUCCCAGAGCUCAACUCUGGAACUGCCUUUGAUACUGGAUGUCUUGAGUGUGAGAGAGGUAUGUGGAACUCCGAGUGUAGAGGUGAAAUUCGUAGAUAUUCGGAAGAACACCAGUGGCGAAGGCGACAUACUGGCUCAUUACUGACGCUGAGGCUCGAAAGCGUGGGGAGCA
RNAcentral lists this ribosomal RNA (658 nucleotides) under uncultured bacterium. Its description in RNAcentral is "bacterial SSU rRNA". It matches the Rfam family "Bacterial small subunit ribosomal RNA", at positions 66 to 770 of the family's 1533-position model. The record is from RNAcentral.